CUUGGUCAUUUAGAGGAAGUAAAAGUCGUAACAAGGUCUCCGUUGGUGAACCAGCGGAGGGAUCAUUACCGAGUUUACAACUCCCAAACCCCUGUGAACAUACCAAUUGUUGCCUCGGCGGAUCAGCCCGCUCCCGGUAAAACGGGACGGCCCGCCAGAGGACCCCUAAACUCUGUUUCUAUAUGUAACUUCUGAGUAAAACCAUAAAUAAAUCAAAACUUUCAACAACGGAUCUCUUGGUUCUGGCAUCGAUGAAGAACGCAGCAAAAUGCGAUAAGUAAUGUGAAUUGCAGAAUUCAGUGAAUCAUCGAAUCUUUGAACGCACAUUGCGCCCGCCAGUAUUCUGGCGGGCAUGCCUGUUCGAGCGUCAUUUCAACCCUCAAGCCCCCGGGUUUGGUGUUGGGGAUCGGCGAGCCCUUGCGGCAAGCCGGCCCCGAAAUCUAGUGGCGGUCUCGCUGCAGCCUCCAUUGCGUAGUAGCUAACACCUCGCAACUGGAACGCGGCGCGGCCAAGCCGUUAAACCCCCAACUUCUGAAUGUUGACCUCGGAUCAGGUAGGAAU
RNAcentral lists this ribosomal RNA (561 nucleotides) under uncultured fungus. RNAcentral's name for it is "eukaryotic LSU rRNA". The stretch from base 217 to 370 matches the Rfam family "5.8S ribosomal RNA". The record is from RNAcentral. Lineage: Eukaryota; Fungi.